This 453-nucleotide ribosomal RNA is filed under the name uncultured bacterium. RNAcentral describes it as "bacterial SSU rRNA". It matches the Rfam family "Bacterial small subunit ribosomal RNA", at positions 335 to 776 of the family's 1533-position model. The record is from RNAcentral.
ACUCCUACGGGAGGCAGCAGUGGGGAAUAUUGCACAAUGGGGGAAACCCUGAUGCAGCCAUGCCGCGUGUGUGAAGAAGGCCUUCGGGUUGUAAAGCACUUUCAGUAGGGAGGAAGGUAGUGUAGUUAACACCUGCACUAUUUGACGUUACCUACAGAAGAAGCACCGGCUAACUCCGUGCCAGCAGCCGCGGUAAUACGGAGGGUGCGAGCGUUAAUCGGAAUUACUGGGCGUAAAGCGCAUGCAGGCGGCCUGUUAAGUCAGAUGUGAAAGCCCGGGGCUUAACCUCGGAAUUGCAUUUGAAACUGGCAGGCUAGAGUCUUGUAGAGGGGGGUAGAAUUUCAGGUGUAGCGGUGAAAAUGCGUAGAGAUACUGAAGGAAUACCAGUGGCGAAGGCGGCCCCCUGGACAAAGACUGACGCUCAGAUGCGAAAAGCGUGGGGAGCAAAACAGG